UACGUAGGUGACUAGCGUUGUCCGGAUUUACUGGGCGUAAAGAGCGCGCAGGCGGUCGUUCAAGUCGAGUGUGAAAGCCCCCGGCUCAACUGGGGAGGGUCACUUGAUACUGAUCGACUCGAAGGCAGGAGAGGGAAGCGGAAUUCCCGGUGUAGAGGUGAAAUUCGUAGAUAUUAGGAAGAACACCAGUGGCGAAGGCGGCUCACUGGCCCGGUACUGACGCUGAGGCGCGAAAGCGUGGGGAGCAAACAGG
This 253-nucleotide ribosomal RNA is filed under the name uncultured bacterium. RNAcentral describes it as "partial 16S ribosomal RNA". It matches the Rfam family "Bacterial small subunit ribosomal RNA", at positions 524 to 776 of the family's 1533-position model. The record is from RNAcentral.